RNAcentral lists this ribosomal RNA (445 nucleotides) under uncultured bacterium. Its description in RNAcentral is "SSU rRNA". It matches the Rfam family "Bacterial small subunit ribosomal RNA", at positions 26 to 518 of the family's 1533-position model. The record is from RNAcentral.
AGAACGAACGCUGGCGGCACGCCUAACACAUGCAAGUCGAGCGCCCAGCAAUGGGAGCGGCGGACGGGUGAGUAACACGUGGGAACAUGCCUUUCGGUACGGAACAACUGCGGGAAACUGCAGCUAAUGCCGUAUACGCCCUUACGGGGAAAGAUUUAUCGCCGAAAGAUUGGCCCGCGUCUGAUUAGCUAGUUGGUGAGGUAACGGCUCACCAAGGCUUCGAUCAGUAGCUGGUUUGAGAGAACGACCAGCCACAUUGGGACUGAGACACGGCCCAAACUCCUACGGGAGGCAGCAGUGGGGAAUCUUGGACAAUGGGGGAAACCCUGAUCCAGCGAUGCCGCGUGAGUGAUGAAGGCCUUCGGGUUGUAAAACUCGUUUCGACGGGGACGAUAAUGACGGUACCCGUAGAAGAAGCUCCGGCUAACUUCGUGCCAGCAGCCGC